RNAcentral lists this ribosomal RNA (426 nucleotides) under uncultured soil bacterium. Its description in RNAcentral is "bacterial SSU rRNA". It matches the Rfam family "Bacterial small subunit ribosomal RNA", at positions 26 to 463 of the family's 1533-position model. The record is from RNAcentral.
AGAUUGAACGCUGGCGGCAUGCCUAACACAUGCAAGUCGAACGGGAGUAGCAAUACUCUAGUGGCGGACGGGUGAGGAAUACGUAGGAAUUUGCCCUUAAGUGGGGGAUAACCCGGGGAAACCCGGAUUAAUACCGCAUGACCUCGAAAGAGCAAAGUGGGGGAUCGCAAGACCUCACGCUUUUGGAGAAGCCUACGUCGGAUUAGCUAGUUGGUGAGGUAAUGGCUCACCAAGGCGACGAUCCGUAACUGGUCUGAGAGGAUGAUCAGUCACACCGGAACUGAGACACGGUCCGGACUCCUACGGGAGGCAGCAGUGGGGAAUAUGGACAAUGGGCGCAAGCCUGAUCCAGCCAUGCCGCGUGGUGGGAAGAAGGCCUUCGGUUAGUAAACCUACUUUCGGCCGUAGGGAACGGAAACGGACUAC